This is a long non-coding RNA of Bos taurus (domestic cattle), 565 nucleotides long. The record is from Ensembl. NCBI's taxonomy places the organism in Eukaryota, Metazoa, Chordata, Mammalia, Artiodactyla, Bovidae.
UAAUAACUGUGGUCAAAAAGAUGAUGGUGGUGACUAUACAGGAGCCAAAACCUUGGCUUUGCUGAGUUGUUCCUUGGGAGAUAUAUUCAACAACUGCAGUGUUCUUGGUGAUGUUUUAAAAAGAAAUGGGAUGAACAGAGUUCCCAGUGGAGCUGAGGGAGGAGCUGGAUUUGCCCUGGAAUGCUAUCCACCAGGACAAUUCCCAUAAUCUAGAGUGUACCAUACAGGAAGCAUGGCUGAGUCACAGACAUGGCCAUCAGCAAUCUCCAGGACUCAUUCGAAGACUUGGGGAUCUUCCUGACCCAGGGAUCAGAUCCACAUCUGCACUGGCAGCGGAUUCUUCACUGCUGAGUCACCAGGGAACACUUACCCAGCUACUGGCAAUCAAUCUGCUCCAGAAACCAUUAUAUACAUUUACAAUGGUAUUUUAAACCCAAAUCUGUUGAUCAGCCAAGCUACUUUCAAGAGUUUUCUUUCAUUAAAUCUCCUAGAAGGACAUCUUCAUCGCAUGUGUUAAAGAUGUUACAUUAUUCUGUUUUUCCAAAAUAAAAGGAAACCCUCCAAA